Molecule: ribosomal RNA, 371 nt
Filed under: uncultured organism
Description: bacterial SSU rRNA
Rfam family: Bacterial small subunit ribosomal RNA
Source: RNAcentral
CGUAGGGUGCAAGCGUUAAUCGGAAUUACUGGGCGUAAAGCGUGCGCAGGCGGUUGUGUAAGACAGAUGUGAAAUGCCCGGGCUUAACCUGGGAACUGCAUUUGUGACUGCACGGCUAGAGUUUGGCAGAGGGGGGGUAGAAUUCCACGUGUAGCAGUGAAAUGCGUAGAUAUGUGGAGGAAUACCGAUGGCGAAGGCAGCCCCCUGGGUCAAGACUGACGCUCAUGCACGAAAGCGUGGGGAGCAAACAGGAUUAGAUACCCUGGUAGUCCACGCCCUAAACGAUGUCUACUAGUUGUCGGGUCUUAAUUGACUUGGUAACGCAGCUAACGCGUGAAGUUGACCGCCUGGGGAGUACGGUCGCAAGAUUA